GGCUCGUUGGUCUAGGGGUAUGAUUCUUUCUUCGAGUGAGAGAGGUCCUGGGUUCAAACCCUGGGCGAGCCC
This 72-nucleotide transfer RNA is filed under the name Danionella cerebrum. RNAcentral describes it as "tRNA-Ser". The record is from RNAcentral. Lineage: Eukaryota; Metazoa; Chordata; Actinopteri; Cypriniformes; Danionidae.